Non-coding RNA from Elaeis guineensis (African oil palm), 784 nucleotides. Lineage: Eukaryota; Viridiplantae; Streptophyta; Magnoliopsida; Arecales; Arecaceae. The record is from RefSeq and is a predicted model, not a curated record.
GUUUUGGGAUGCCCAAGGGAGCAUGGCGUGGAUCAAGUGGAGGACACCAAGAAGCCUUGUGUGUGAGAGCUUUUCACGUAGAGAUAGAUGAGACACCUCUUCUCCAUAUCCUUUCUUUCUUACAACCAAGGAUUGGUUGUUAGAUCUAUUUGAUUCUCUUGAAAAAAAGAUCAAAAAAUCAAGUCGAUUCGACAAUCCAAAAAGCGAUCUCUGCAAGGAAGCUAGCAUUUUGAUGAGAUUGAGACCUCCCGAUCAGAUCAUCCUCAGUGGAUAUCAAUAGAGGUCGGAUAUUUGUACGGCUAUAAUAAGAUCUCGAAGAUAUCCACAAACAAUCAGAUCACGAUGAAGAUCUAUCCGUGCAAAGGUGUGUGGAUGACAAGCCCUUUGUGCCAAUGCAUCGAGUCUCAAAGGAAAAAGCAAAAAGCUUAGGCAUUGACUAUAUUCCUCUAGAGACAAGCAUCAUGGAGAUUGUCGAAAGCUCAAGGGAGAAGGGGUUUGUUAGUUUUUAAAAAUGGGUUGAUGCAUGUUAAAGCUCUCCACUUAGUUGGGACAAUAUUUAAUGGCACUACAAAGAGUGCGAGAUACUUUAGCUCCAUCGAACCAAGAGAACUUUCAACUUUGUUUUGUGCAACUAUGCAACCUUUGCUUUAUUUAUUACUGAGACAUUUUCUAGUAGAUAUUUUUAUAUGUCUACUAUGUUUGAUUGUGUUUCUAUGUCUAUAGUGAUGUUUUUCUGACUAUUUAUAGGGUCAAAUAUAGUAUGCGCUGAAUUUCCCUUGACUUU